UGUCUUUAUGGCAAAUGUGAGAUGCAGUGUAUGGAAUGUCAAAUUUCUAGUAUGAGAAAUUAACGAUUUAAGUCCUUCUUAAAUGAGGCCAUUUACCCAUAGAGGGUGCCAGGCCCGUAAAACGUUAAUGAUUACUAGAUGACAUUUCCAAAGAGUCGUGUUGCUUGAUAGUGCAGCACUAAGUGGGUGGUAAACUCCAUCUAAAACUAAAUAUAACCAUGAGACCGAUAGUAAACAAGUACCGUGAGGGAAAGUUGAAAAGAACUCUGAAUAGAGAGUUAAAUAGUACGUGAAACUGCUUAGAGGUUAAGCCCGAUGAACCUGAAUAUCCUUUAUGGAAAAUUCAUCAUUAAGAUUUUAAUAUUUGUAAUAUUGAAAUAAUGGUGUGCAUUUUUUCCAUAUAUGGACAUUGUAAUCUAUUAAUAUGCACAAUAUUUAUCAUAAGAUCAUUAGCUUAAGUUUAUUCAAAUUAUUUUGCUUGCAAUUUAACAUAGAAUAAGUGCUGAUGAUUUGAUAAAGUGUUGAUAGAUUUAUUAUAUAUGGUGCUUGAAUAUUUAUAUUCUAUAAUGGCAUAUUGAUCAUUGAUCUUUGUGUUUAUUAUAUGCACUUAUAUGAUUAACAAUGCGAAAGAUUCAGGAUACCUUCGGGACCCGUCUUGAAACACGGACCAAGGAGUCUAACAUAUUUGCAAGUUAUUGGGAAUUAAAAACCUAAUAGCGAAAUUAACAUAACUUAUAUAAUGGGAUUAGUUUUUAGUACUAUUUAUAGUCUAUUAAUUCAAUCCCGGGGCGUUCUAUACAGUUAUGUAUAAUGGUAUUUAUACUAUUUAUACCUCUAACUAGAGCGUACCUUGAGCAUAUAUGCUGUGACCCGAAAGAUGGUGAACUAUACUUGAUCAGGUUGAAGUCAGGGGAAACCCUG
Molecule: ribosomal RNA, 921 nt
Filed under: Coenosopsia ferrari
Lineage: Eukaryota; Metazoa; Arthropoda; Insecta; Diptera; Anthomyiidae
Description: partial large subunit ribosomal RNA
Rfam family: Eukaryotic large subunit ribosomal RNA
Source: RNAcentral